Molecule: ribosomal RNA, 418 nt
Filed under: uncultured euryarchaeote
Lineage: Archaea; Methanobacteriati; Methanobacteriota
Description: bacterial SSU rRNA
Rfam family: Archaeal small subunit ribosomal RNA
Source: RNAcentral
CGCGAAAACUUCACACUGCAGGAAACUGUGAUGAGGGAACUCCAAGUGCAUGCACUAUGUGCAUGCUUUUCUUAACUAUUAAUCGGUUUUGGAAUAAGGGCUGGGAAAGACCGGUGCCAGCCGCCGCGGUAAUACCGGCAGCUCAAGUGGUCGUCGCUUUUAUUGGGCCUAAAACGUCCGUAGCCUGUUUGGUAAAUCUGUGGGUAAAUCAACGAGCUUAACUCGUUGAAUUCUGCAGAGACUGCCAGACUAGGGACCGGAGAGGUAUGAGGUACUCUGGGGGUAGGGGUAAAAUCCUGUCAUCCUCAGAGGACCACCUGGUUGCGAAGGCGUCAUACUGGAACGGAUCCGACGGUCAGGGACGAAGCCUAGGGGUACGAACCGGAUUAGAUACCCGGGUAGUCCUAGGUGUAAACGC